GCCAAAAUAGUUCAGUGGCAGAACACCGCUUUCGUAAAGCGGGGACGUGAGUCCGAUUCUCACUUUUGGCUCCA
This 74-nucleotide transfer RNA is filed under the name Candidatus Vogelbacteria bacterium. RNAcentral's name for it is "tRNA-Thr". It matches the Rfam family "tRNA". Rfam says of the family: Transfer RNA (tRNA) molecules are approximately 80 nucleotides in length. Their secondary structure includes four short double-helical elements and three loops (D, anti-codon, and T loops). Further hydrogen bonds mediate the characteristic L-shaped molecular structure. tRNAs have two regions of fundamental functional importance: the anti-codon, which is responsible for specific mRNA codon recognition, and the 3' end, to which the tRNAs corresponding amino acid is attached (by aminoacyl-tRNA synthetases). tRNAs cope with the degeneracy of the genetic code in two manners: having more than one tRNA (with a specific anti-codon) for a particular amino acid; and 'wobble' base-pairing, i.e. permitting non-standard base-pairing at the 3rd anti-codon position. The record is from RNAcentral. Lineage: Bacteria; Candidatus Vogeliibacteriota.